Molecule: ribosomal RNA, 484 nt
Filed under: uncultured bacterium
Lineage: Bacteria
Description: partial 16S ribosomal RNA
Rfam family: Bacterial small subunit ribosomal RNA
Source: RNAcentral
AUUGAACGCUGGCGGCAUGCUUUACACAUGCAAGUCGAACGGCAGCGCGGGCUUCGGCCUGGCGGCGAGUGGCGAACGGGUGAGUAAUGCAUCGGAACGUGCCCAGUAGUGGGGGAUAGCCCGGCGAAAGCCGGAUUAAUACCGCAUACGACCUGAGGGUGAAAGCGGGGGACCGAAAGGCCUCGCGCUAUUGGAGCGGCCGAUGUCGGAUUAGCUAGUUGGUGGGGUAAAGGCUUACCAAGGCGACGAUCCGUAGCUGGUCUGAGAGGACGACCAGCCACACUGGGACUGAGACACGGCCCAGACUCCUACGGGAGGCAGCAGUGGGGAAUUUUGGACAAUGGGGGCAACCCUGAUCCUGCCAUGCCGCGUGCGGGAAGAAGGCCUUCGGGUUGUAAACCGCUUUUGUUCGGGAAGAAAUCCUCUGGGCUAAUACCCCGGGGGGAUGACGGUACCGGAAGAAUAAGCACCGGCUAACUACGUG